Molecule: long non-coding RNA, 411 nt
Filed under: Manihot esculenta (cassava)
Lineage: Eukaryota; Viridiplantae; Streptophyta; Magnoliopsida; Malpighiales; Euphorbiaceae
Description: long non-coding RNA (MESC_LNC009118)
Source: RNAcentral
CCGGCCUUUUGUUUUGGCCUUCAUACCUUGGGCUUUUGAGAAGGCAAGUUUAUCCGAGCUGGGAGCUCGAUCUUGAGCUUAAUAUAGGUCUAUCCGAGCUGGGAGCUCGAUCUUGAACUUAAUAUAGGUCUAUUCGAGCUGGGAGCUCGGCAUUUUGCCCGAUGGCCCAUCUUUUAGCGUUAGUGUCUGUUUCAAGGUCGGCGCUUCUUGGCUAUUGUGCCCCUUCAGGAGGUCGGAACCUGAUUUUGCCUUGGUAGCUCUGGGCUCCUUUCUUUUUUGUGAGGUCGGAACUGUGUGUUAAGUUGUCCCUGCAUAUGUUAUGGGAAUUUUUCCUUUUGGGAGGCUCUUAAGUCCUUCUCCGACCAUUUUUGUUUUCAGAGGAUCUUUAUGAGACCCUGGUUGUUUUUNNNN